Molecule: ribosomal RNA, 1796 nt
Filed under: Pogostemon cablin (patchouli)
Lineage: Eukaryota; Viridiplantae; Streptophyta; Magnoliopsida; Lamiales; Lamiaceae
Description: SSU rRNA
Rfam family: Eukaryotic small subunit ribosomal RNA
Source: RNAcentral
CCUAGUUGAUCCUGCCAGUAGUCAUAUGCUUGUCUCAAAGAUUAAGCCAUGCAUGUGUAAGUAUGAAUUAAUUCAGACUGUGAAACUGUGAAUGACUCAUUAAAUUAGUUAUAGUUUGUUUGAUAGUACCUGCUAUUUGGAUAACCGGUGUAAUUAUAGAGCUAAUACGUGCAACAAACCCUAACUUCUGGAAGGGAUGCAUUUAUUAGAUAAAAGAUCGACACGAGCUCUACUCGUUGCUGUGAUAAUUCAUGAUAACUCGACGGAUCGUACGGCCCUCGUGCCAGUGACGCAUCAUUCAAAUUUCUUCCCUAUCAACUUUCGAUGGUAGGAUAGUGGCCUACCAUGGUGGUGAUGGGUGACAGAGAAUUAGGGUUCGAUUCUAGAGAGAAAGCCUGAGAAAUGGCUACCACAUCCAAGGAAGGCAGCAGGCGCGCAAAUUACCCAAUCCUGACACAAGGAGGUAGUGACUAUAAAUAACAAUACCUGGCUCUUCAAGUCUGGUAAUUGGAAUGAGUACAAUUUAAAUCCCGUAGCGAGGAUCCAUUGGAGGGUAAGUUUGGUGCCAACAUCAACAGUAAUUCUAGCUCCAAUAGCAUAUAUUUAAGUUGUUGCAGUUAAAAAGCUCAUAGUUGGACUUUGGGUUGGGCCAGUCGGUCCGCCUUCCGGUAUGCACCGAUCAUAUCGUCCCUUCUGCCAGCGAUGCACUCCUAGUCUUAACCGGCCGGGUUGUGCCUCCGACGCUGUUACUUUGAAGAAAUUAGAGUGCUCAAAACAAGCCUAUGUUCUAGAUACAUUAGCAUGGGAUAACAUUAUAGGAUUUCGGUCCUAUUACGUUGGCCUUAGGAUCGGAGUCAUGAUUAACAGGGACAGUCAGGGGAAUUCGUAUUUCAUAGUUAGAGAUAAAAUUCUUUGAUUUAUGAAAGACGAACAACUGCGAAAGCAUUUGCCAAGGAUGUUUUCAUUAAUCAAGAACGAAAGUUGGGGGCUCGAAGAUGAUCAGAUACCAUUCUAGUUUCAACCAUAAACGAUGCCGUCCAGGGAUCGGCAGAUAUUGCUUAAAGAACUCUGCCGGCACCUUAUGAGAAAUCAAAGUCUUUGGGUUCUGGGAGGAGUAUGGUCGCAAUGCUAAAACUUAAAGUAAUUGACAGAAGGGCACCACCAGGAGUGGAGCCUGUGGCUUAAUUUGACUCAACACGGGGAAAAUUACCAGGUCUAGACAUAGUUAGGAUUGACAGACUGAGAGCUCUUUCUUGAUUCUAUGGGAGGUAGUGCAUGGUCGUUCAUUGUUGGUGGAGCAAUUUGUCUGGUUAAUUGCGUUAACAAACAAGACCUCAGCCUGCUAACUAGCUAUGCGGAGAUAUCCCUCCGCGGCCAGCUUCUUAGAGGGACUACGGCCUUUUAGGCCACAGAAGUUUGAGGCAAUAAUAGGUCUAUGAUGCCCUUAGAUGUUAUGGGCCGCACGCACUACACUGAUGUAUUCAACAUGUUUAUAGCCUUGGCCGACAGGCCUGGGUAAACUUUGAAAUUUCAUCGUGAUAGGGAUAGAUCAUUGCAAUUGUUGGUCUUCAACGAGGAAUUCCUAGUAAGUGUGAGUCAUCAUCUCGCGUUGACUACGUCCCUGCCCUUUGUACACACUGCUCAUCGCUCCUACCAAUUGAAUCAUCCAUUGAAGUGUUCGGAUCGAGGUGAUGUGGAUGGUUCGCCGCCCGUGACGUAGCGAGAAGUCCACUAAACCUUAUCAUUUAGAGGAAGGAGAAGUCGUAACAAGGUUUCCGUAGGUGAACCUGCGAAAG